RNAcentral lists this long non-coding RNA (300 nucleotides) under Capsicum annuum. RNAcentral describes it as "long non-coding RNA (CANN_LNC004182)". The record is from RNAcentral. Lineage: Eukaryota; Viridiplantae; Streptophyta; Magnoliopsida; Solanales; Solanaceae.
AGGAGGUAAAAGCCCUUUUGUGUCAAUGUAGAGUUAUGUUUGUGUCGCAGAUAGUGUUAAGGGUCCAAGAGUGUAACAAUUCUUGGGUUCUUAAGAUUGUCCCAUCAUUUGGUCUAACUAUUUAUCUUGUAUCUUAUUAAAUCUGUUGGUUACUUGUUGUUGUUAAUGUGCCCGUAACUUUUUUGUUAUUUAUGUGUUGACAUAGUGAAGCCGUGUGGGGCCUUUUCAAUUUACUAUAGUCCUCGUAACCUUGUACUCUCUAUCUACUUUAUUGAAUAUUGUUGUUAUUGUCUUAAAAAC